This 396-nucleotide ribosomal RNA is filed under the name uncultured bacterium. Its description in RNAcentral is "partial 16S ribosomal RNA". It matches the Rfam family "Bacterial small subunit ribosomal RNA", at positions 523 to 918 of the family's 1533-position model. The record is from RNAcentral.
AUACAGAGGGUGCAAGCGUUAAUCGGAUUUACUGGGCGUAAAGCGCGCGUAGGUGGCUAAUUAAGUCAAAUGUGAAAUCCCCGAGCUUAACUUGGGAAUUGCAUUCGAUACUGGUUAGCUAGAGUAUGGGAGAGGAUGGUAGAAUUCCAGGUGUAGCGGUGAAAUGCGUAGAGAUCUGGAGGAAUACCGAUGGCGAAGGCAGCCAUCUGGCCUAAUACUGACACUGAGGUGCGAAAGCAUGGGGAGCAAACAGGAUUAGAUACCCUGGUAGUCCAUGCCGUAAACGAUGUCUACUAGCCGUUGGGGCCCUUGAGGCUUUAGUGGCGCAGCUAACGCGAUAAGUAGACCGCCUGGGGAGUACGGUCGCAAGACUAAAACUCAAAUGAAUUGGCGGGG